This 801-nucleotide ribosomal RNA is filed under the name Triticum aestivum (bread wheat). Its description in RNAcentral is "partial small subunit ribosomal RNA". The record is from RNAcentral. Lineage: Eukaryota; Viridiplantae; Streptophyta; Magnoliopsida; Poales; Poaceae.
AUGCAGAACUUUUUUGGGUGGCUCGCGCACGGCGGCGCCGUCCAGCUCCCGCGGGCCAGCCAUCCGGUCGUCCACCCCGCUCCGCCGCCUCCCGUUCCGGAUGCUGCGGCACAGGCGCAGCCGCAGGGACAGGGCCCGCCCCCGCCCCCGGCUCCGGCUCCAGCUCCACCUCCGGCCCCGGCCCCGGCUCCGGCGGCAGAGGGAGAGAUACAGCCGGUGGCCCCGGCUGCGGCGGCAGAGGGACAGGGGCAGGCGGUGGCCCCGGCUCCGGCUCCGGCUGCGGCGGCGGAGGUGGAGGACGCGAACGCGAACGCGCCGCCGCCCGGGGUGGUGAUGGUGGACCUGAUGGGGGCGCCGGGGACGCGCUGGGGGCUCGGCACCCGCCUCGCGCAGGCGCUCCUCGCGGCCGCCGCCAUCGGCUUCAUGGCCUCCACCGACGACUUCAACGAGGUCACCGCCUUCCGCCUCCUCGUAACAGCAGAGGCCUUGCAAUGCCUGUGGAGCCUCGCUCUGGCCGCCGUUGACGUCUACGCACUUCUUGUCAAGCGCGCCUUCCGGACUCCUCGAGCUACCACCAUAUAUUCCAUUGGGGACUGGGUCACGGGAGCACUGACCUUCGCUGCAGCGAGCGGAUCGGCAGGCAUCACCGUUCUCAUCAACGACGACCUGAUGAUGUGCUCGGAGAACCACUGCCCGAGCUUCAUGGCCUCCACCUCCAUGGCUUUCUUCACCUGGUUCGCGAUCGCGCCGUCCUGCCUCUUUAACCUCAUGACAGCGGUGUACCGAGUGCAGAGGGCGUAG